UACAGAGGUCUCAAGCGUUGUUCGGAUUCAUUGGGCGUAAAGGGUGCGUAGGUGGCGUCGUAAGUCGGGUGUGAAAUUUCGGAGCUUAACUCCGAAACUGCAUUCGAUACUGCGGUGCUUGAGGACUGGAGAGGAGACUGGAAUUUACGGUGUAGCGGUGAAAUGCGUAGAUAUCGUAAGGAAGACCAGUGGCGAAGGCGGGUCUCUGGACAGUUCCUGACGCUGAGGCGCGAAAGCGUGGGGAGCAAACAGG
RNAcentral lists this ribosomal RNA (253 nucleotides) under uncultured bacterium. Its description in RNAcentral is "partial 16S ribosomal RNA". It matches the Rfam family "Bacterial small subunit ribosomal RNA", at positions 524 to 776 of the family's 1533-position model. The record is from RNAcentral.